GAUGAACGCUAGCGGCAGGCUUAAUACAUGCAAGUCGAGGGGCAGCAUGAAUGUAGCAAUACAUUUGAUGGCGACCGGCAAACGGGUGCGGAACACGUACACAACCUUCCUAUAAGUGGGGAAUAGCCCAGAGAAAUUUGGAUUAAUACCCCGUAACAUAAUGAUGUGGCAUCACAUUAUUAUUAUAGCUACGGCGCUUAUUGAUGGGUGUGCGGCUGAUUAGAUAGUUGGCGGGGUAACGGCCCACCAAGUCUACGAUCAGUAGCUGAUGUGAGAGCAUGAUCAGCCACACGGGCACUGAGACACGGGCCCGACUCCUACGGGAGGCAGCAGUAAGGAAUAUUGGUCAAUGGACGCAAGUCUGAACCAGCCAUGCCGCGUGAAGGAUUAAGGUCCUCUGGAUUGUAAACUUCUUUUAUCUGGGACGAAAAAAGGCUAUUCUUAGUCACUUGACGGUACCAGAUGAAUAAGCACCGGCUAACUCCGUGCCAGCAGCCGCCGCAG
This 504-nucleotide ribosomal RNA is filed under the name uncultured bacterium. RNAcentral describes it as "partial 16S ribosomal RNA". It matches the Rfam family "Bacterial small subunit ribosomal RNA", at positions 28 to 523 of the family's 1533-position model. The record is from RNAcentral.